This 253-nucleotide ribosomal RNA is filed under the name uncultured bacterium. RNAcentral describes it as "partial 16S ribosomal RNA". It matches the Rfam family "Bacterial small subunit ribosomal RNA", at positions 524 to 776 of the family's 1533-position model. The record is from RNAcentral.
AACGUAGGUGGCGAGCGUUAUCCGGAUUUACUGGGCGUAAAGGGCGCGUAGGCGGCCUUCUAAGUCAGACGUGAAAUCCCCCGGCUUAACCUGGGAACUGCGUCUGAUACUGGGAGGCUUGAGUAUGGGAGAGGGAUGUAGAAUUCCAGGUGUAGCGGUGAAAUGCGUAGAUAUCUGGAGGAAUACCGGUGGCGAAGGCGGCAUCCUGGACCAUAACUGACGCUGAGGCGCGAAAGCUAGGGGAGCAAACGGG